GAAAUUGAUCUUUUCCUUGCUCCUAGUAGAGAAAGACAGAGAAGGUAACAAAUUGAGUAGCUUCUCAAUUCUCACUAAAAGGAGACCCUAUGACACAGGUGUAUGAGAUGGUGGUGUUUGUUUCUUUUCUUCCAAGUUUUUUCUUUUGAUUUUGCUCUUGAAUUUUGGAAGGGUUGGUUAGAGAGUUUAAAGAGUUGGUGUUUUGAAGGAACAGAUAGGCCAACAAAAAUAAACUAACUCCUACCAAGGUGGAGUUGUUCAGAAAUCUCAGACUUUGUUUUUGGUUUCUCCUGGAGAAUU
RNAcentral lists this long non-coding RNA (300 nucleotides) under Phaseolus vulgaris (common bean). RNAcentral describes it as "long non-coding RNA (PVUL_LNC001249)". The record is from RNAcentral. Lineage: Eukaryota; Viridiplantae; Streptophyta; Magnoliopsida; Fabales; Fabaceae.